UGAGGAAUAUUGGUCAAUGGGCGGGAGCCUGAACCAGCCAAGCCGCGUGAAGGAAGAAGGCGCCAGGCGUCGUAAACUUCUUUUGUCGGGGAACAAAGGGCGCCACGCGUGGCGUUGUGAGUGUACCCGAAGAAAAAGCAUCGGCUAACUCCGUGCC
This 157-nucleotide ribosomal RNA is filed under the name uncultured bacterium. RNAcentral's name for it is "partial 16S ribosomal RNA". It matches the Rfam family "Bacterial small subunit ribosomal RNA", at positions 355 to 509 of the family's 1533-position model. The record is from RNAcentral.